RNAcentral lists this transfer RNA (72 nucleotides) under Candidatus Woykebacteria bacterium RBG_13_40_15. Its description in RNAcentral is "tRNA-Asn". It matches the Rfam family "tRNA". Rfam says of the family: Transfer RNA (tRNA) molecules are approximately 80 nucleotides in length. Their secondary structure includes four short double-helical elements and three loops (D, anti-codon, and T loops). The record is from RNAcentral. Lineage: Bacteria; Candidatus Woykeibacteriota.
UCUCGGGUAGCUCAAUUGGAAGAGCCAGUGGCUGUUAGCCACUUAGGUUGGGGUUCGAGUCCCUCCCGAGAA